CUACGUGCCAGCAGCCGCGGUAAUACGGAAGGUCCAGGCGUUAUCCGGAUUUAUUGGGUUUAAAGGGAGCGUAGGCUGCCGUUUAAGCGUGUUGUGAAAUGUACCGGCUCAACCGGUGAUGUGCAGCGCGAACUGGAUGGCUUGAGUUCGAAGAGGGAAUGCGGAACUCGUGGUGUAGCGGUGAAAUGCUUAGAUAUCACGAGGAACUCCGAUCGCGAAGGCAGCAUUCCGUUUCGUGACUGACGCUGAUGCUCGAAAGUGCGGGUAUCGAACAGGAUUAGAUACCCUGGUAGUCCGCACGGUAAACGAUGGAUGCUCGCUGUUGGUUUAAUUAGAUCAGUGGCUAAGUGAAAGCAUUAAGCAUCCCACCUGGGGAGUACGCCGGCAACGGUGAAACUCAAAGGAAUUGACGGGGGCCCGCACAAGCGGAGGAACAUGUGGUUUAAUUCGAUGAUACGCGAGGAACCUUACCCGGGCU
RNAcentral lists this ribosomal RNA (478 nucleotides) under uncultured bacterium. RNAcentral describes it as "bacterial SSU rRNA". It matches the Rfam family "Bacterial small subunit ribosomal RNA", at positions 501 to 981 of the family's 1533-position model. The record is from RNAcentral.